CGCAGCCGGUAGAACUCCGAACCUACACGGGAAACCCCAAUGGAUUUCGAGUCCAUCGCCUUGACCACUCGGCCACAUUUUGC
Non-coding RNA from Araneus ventricosus, 83 nucleotides. The record is from the annotation of a GenBank genome assembly. NCBI's taxonomy places the organism in Eukaryota, Metazoa, Arthropoda, Arachnida, Araneae, Araneidae.